RNAcentral lists this transfer RNA (74 nucleotides) under Treubaria triappendiculata. Its description in RNAcentral is "tRNA-Met". It matches the Rfam family "tRNA". From Rfam's summary of the family: Transfer RNA (tRNA) molecules are approximately 80 nucleotides in length. Lineage: Eukaryota; Viridiplantae; Chlorophyta; Chlorophyceae; Treubariaceae. The record is from RNAcentral.
CGCAGGGUAGAGCAGGCUGGUAGCUCGUGGGGCUCAUAACCCCAAGGUCGCAGGUUCGAAUCCUGCCCCUGCAA